This 464-nucleotide ribosomal RNA is filed under the name Calliteara melli. RNAcentral describes it as "partial large subunit ribosomal RNA". Lineage: Eukaryota; Metazoa; Arthropoda; Insecta; Lepidoptera; Erebidae. The record is from RNAcentral.
UGCCCACUGAUAAAAUAAAUUAAAGGGCUGCAGUAAUUUGACUGUACAAAGGUAGCAUAAUCAUUAGUCAUUUAAUUGAUGACUUGUAUGAAAGAUUGGAUGAGAUAUAAGCUGUCUUUAAUGUAAAUAUAGAAUUUAAUUUUUUAAUUAAAAAGUUAAAAUAAAUAAAAAAGACGAGAAGACCCUAUAGAGUUUUAUUAUUUUAUGAAUAGUUAAUAUUUGUAAAUUUAAUAUUUUUAAAAAAUUUAUAAAAUAAUUUUAUUGGGGUGAUGGAAAAAUUUAAUUAACUUUUUUUUUUAAAAAACAUAAAUAAAUGAUUUUAUGAUCCAAUAUUAUUGAUUAUAAGAAAAAAUUACCUUAGGGAUAACAGCGUAAUUUUUUUUUUUAGUUCAUAUAAAAAAAAGAGUUUGCGACCUCGAUGUUGGAUUAAGAUAAAAUUUAAAUGUAGAAGUUUAAAGUUUUGA